Penaeus chinensis is the source of this 715-nucleotide long non-coding RNA. RefSeq lists it as uncharacterized. The transcript has 3 exons. The record is from RefSeq and is a predicted model, not a curated record. Lineage: Eukaryota; Metazoa; Arthropoda; Malacostraca; Decapoda; Penaeidae.
GGUUCGUCCUCACUCGACCAUAGCUCCUCCCACUUCCUCGUCCGUAUAUAAAAGCAUCGCCAGCCAUUGUCCUUCAUUGUCGAUUCGAGUGCUGACACGUAAGGUUUCGACGAUGAGGUGGAUCGCUUUGACUUUCUUGUUGUUGUCAUCCUUAAUGGUGGCGACAGAAGCGCGACCCCAAGGCAGAUUCCUGCCGAAAUUUCCUACAAGAGGGCCUUUCAUCCCUCCAUUCCCAUGCAAUUGCACGUUCCCACCGUGUCCUUGUGAUCCUCCUGGAACCAUCGACUCCUUAAGGGCAAAACGACGCGUGUAAGGAGGUCUCCGGAAGGCCCUGCGAGUCUUCAGGGUGGUUUUCCUUGUCGUCCACGUGCUCGGACUCUCUUAAGUGCUUUUUCUUCAAGGUUUUUUAUUGUCUAUGUUAAUUAGUUGGUUUUCCAUUUGUCUGUAAAAGUUAUUCGCGUCUUGUACAAGUUAUUGAGAUUUCCUUAUCGUCAGUGCAAGCUAUCAAGUGUUUUCUUCGUGUAAAUAUAACUUAGCAAGGUUUCAUUAGUGCCUGUGCAAACCAUUGUUUUUUGUUUGUUUACACUACUUACCAGGGUUUCCCUAAUGUCUGUCCGAAUCAUUACAUGCUUGUCUGUAUUAGUGCAAGACUUGAAGAGUUCUCCACUUGAUUCGGCUAUCUGUAGUUAUGCUAAAAAUAAAUUGUCAUAAAUGU